UACGGGGGGGGCAAGCGUUGUUCGGAAUUACUGGGCGUAAAGGGCUCGUAGGCGGCCAACUAAGUCAGACGUGAAAUCCCUCGGCUUAACCGGGGAACUGCGUCUGAUACUGGAUGGCUUGAAUCCGGGAGAGGGAUGCGGAAUUCCAGGUGUAGCGGUGAAAUGCGUAGAUAUCUGGAGGAACACCGGUGGCGAAGGCGGCAUCCUGGACUGGUCCUGACACUCAUGAGCGAAAGCGUGGGGAGCGAUCCGG
RNAcentral lists this ribosomal RNA (253 nucleotides) under uncultured bacterium. RNAcentral's name for it is "partial 16S ribosomal RNA". It matches the Rfam family "Bacterial small subunit ribosomal RNA", at positions 524 to 776 of the family's 1533-position model. The record is from RNAcentral.